CCUCCGACCCACCUAUGGUAUAGACUGGUGGAAGCCUCUUCAUAGGUCUCUGGAUCCUCCCUGCAUCCUAUCACCACCAUAGCAUCUAACCUUGAUCCAUACACCUCGAGACCCUCUCCUGGUGCCUGCUCACUACUGCCCAAAUGACUGGGAGACACCACUUCCCUCGGCACCUUCUUGCCUAGAGCUCGUGCCAUGGUUAUAGUCUUCAUCAUCACCCAUGAAGGAAUCUCUUUCUGGUGCUCCUCUAUGUGUGGAUGCAUCUGUCCCCAGUGCUCCACCUCCUUGUGAUCCAGCGAUCCAGCAAUAGACAGAUCUGAUAAACACACUAUUAGCUAUCCAAUUUAUGCCGACUGAACCUCCCACUGAUCCUUCAUAGCUGAAGCAAUCACCUCGGCCUCUCCAAACACAACAGAUCCCUCCAUCUGGUAUAGACAACUCCUCAACCUCCUCUCUCUCAUCAC
RNAcentral lists this long non-coding RNA (464 nucleotides) under Elaeis guineensis (African oil palm). Its description in RNAcentral is "long non-coding RNA (EGUI_LNC024794)". The record is from RNAcentral. Lineage: Eukaryota; Viridiplantae; Streptophyta; Magnoliopsida; Arecales; Arecaceae.